This 790-nucleotide ribosomal RNA is filed under the name Metabacillus litoralis. RNAcentral describes it as "bacterial SSU rRNA". It matches the Rfam family "Bacterial small subunit ribosomal RNA", at positions 73 to 847 of the family's 1533-position model. The record is from RNAcentral. Lineage: Bacteria; Bacillati; Bacillota; Bacilli; Caryophanales; Bacillaceae.
UGGGAGCUUGCUCCCUGAGAUUAGCGGCGGACGGGUGAGUAACACGUGGGUAACCUGCCUGUAAGAUUGGGAUAACUCCGGGAAACCGGAGCUAAUACCGGAUAACAUUUCGAACCGCAUGGUUCGGAAUUGAAAGAUGGUUUCGGCUAUCACUUACAGAUGGACCCGCGGCGCAUUAGCUAGUUGGUGAGGUAAUGGCUCACCAAGGCGACGAUGCGUAGCCGACCUGAGAGGGUGAUCGGCCACACUGGGACUGAGACACGGCCCAGACUCCUACGGGAGGCAGCAGUAGGGAAUCUUCCGCAAUGGACGAAAGUCUGACGGAGCAACGCCGCGUGAACGAUGAAGGCCUUCGGGUCGUAAAGUUCUGUUGUUAGGGAAGAACAAGUACCAGAGUAACUGCUGGUACCUUGACGGUACCUAACCAGAAAGCCACGGCUAACUACGUGCCAGCAGCCGCGGUAAUACGUAGGUGGCAAGCGUUGUCCGGAAUUAUUGGGCGUAAAGCGCGCGCAGGUGGUUCUUUAAGUCUGAUGUGAAAGCCCACGGCUCAACCGUGGAGGGUCAUUGGAAACUGGGGAACUUGAGUGCAGAAGAGGAAAGUGGAAUUCCAAGUGUAGCGGUGAAAUGCGUAGAGAUUUGGAGGAACACCAGUGGCGAAGGCGACUUUCUGGUCUGUAACUGACACUGAGGCGCGAAAGCGUGGGGAGCGAACAGGAUUAGAUACCCUGGUAGUCCACGCCGUAAACGAUGAGUGCUAAGUGUUAGAGGGUUUCCGCCCUUUAGUGCU